RNAcentral lists this non-coding RNA (30 nucleotides) under Prorocentrum micans. Lineage: Eukaryota; Dinophyceae; Prorocentrales; Prorocentraceae. The record is from RNAcentral.
UUUUUUUUUUUUUUUUUUUUUUUUCCAUUU